This 444-nucleotide ribosomal RNA is filed under the name uncultured bacterium. RNAcentral's name for it is "SSU rRNA". It matches the Rfam family "Bacterial small subunit ribosomal RNA", at positions 26 to 518 of the family's 1533-position model. The record is from RNAcentral.
AGAAUGAACGCUGGCGGCAGGCUUAACACAUGCAAGUCGAGCGCCCCGCAAGGGGAGCGGCAGACGGGUGAGUAACGCGUGGGAACAUACCCUCCGGUUCGGAAUAGCUCAGGGAAACUUGGAUUAAUACCGGAUACGGCCUAGCGGCGAAAGAUUCAUCGCCGGAGGAUUGGCCCGCGUUCGAUUAGCUAGUUGGUGAGGUAACGGCUCACCAAGGCGACGAUCGAUAGCUGGUCUGAGAGGAUGAUCAGCCACAUUGGGACUGAGACACGGCCCAAACUCCUACGGGAGGCAGCAGUGGGGAAUAUUGGACAAUGGGCGCAAGCCUGAUCCAGCCAUGCCGCGUGAGUGAUGACGGCCUUAGGGUUGUAAAGCUCUUUCGCUAGGGACGAUAAUGACGGUACCUAGACAAGAAGCCCCGGCUAACUUCGCGCCAGCAGCCGC